Molecule: ribosomal RNA, 439 nt
Filed under: uncultured Eubacteriales bacterium
Lineage: Bacteria; Bacillati; Bacillota; Clostridia; Eubacteriales
Description: bacterial SSU rRNA
Rfam family: Bacterial small subunit ribosomal RNA
Source: RNAcentral
UGUACGGCCACAUUGGGACUGAGACACGGCCCAGACUCCUACGGGAGGCAGCAGUGGGGAAUUUUGCACAAUGGGGGAAACCCUGAUGCAGCGACGCCGCGUGAUUUAGAAGGCCUUCGGGUUGUAAAAAUCUUUUGUAUAGGAAGAAAAUGACAGUACUAUACGAAUAAGGUCCGGCUAAUUACGUGCCAGCAGCCGCGGUAAUACGUAAGGACCGAGCGUUGUCCGGAAUCAUUGGGCGUAAAGGGUACGUAGGCGGGUUUUUAAGUUAGAAGUCAAAGGCUAUAGCUCAACUAUAGUAAGCUUCUAAAACUGGAAACCUUGAGAGAUGGAAGGGAAAGUGGAAUUCCUAGUGUAGCGGUGGAAUGCGCAGAUAUUAGGAGGAAUACCGGUGGCGAAGGCGACUUUCUGGCCAUUUUCUGACGCUGAGGUACGAAAG